AUUCAGGCUGAUUUCCAUUUUGAGAAAUGUUCUAAGAAGGAGUCGUACCCUACUUUCAAAGUUUCACUGAAGCCUGGGCUUAGAGAUGCACGUAUAGCUGGGAGCUCUUAUCUCUUCCAACUUUUUUUAUUUCUUUGUUAAAUCAAAGAAACUCCAAAAGUCUCCAAUCGGUCACCAGAGAGAGUGUCGAUGCCUCAGAAGAUGACAAACGGCAUGCUGGUGUCUGCGUAGUAAGGCUCGUCCCUGUGUCUAGACAUGAAGAUGGUCUGAAGACCACAAGUUAACUGCUCAUGGUCCGAUUGCACUGUGUGUCACUCAUAUGACACCCCACUGCCACCCCAGUGAAGGUUACAGCUCGAGAGAGACCUGUGGAUGACCAGUCAGAGAAAACACUUUCUGUCUGAGAUAGGGCCCAUGGUACCACCAAGAACUGAAUCUGAUCACCAGACUCUCUGAGCUAUGACAGACAAGUAAGGUAUGCAGGCUUCUGACUGAAGAAAGUCUUGUGCCAGCCCCUGAAAGGACUCUUUGUGUCUGAAGGACAACACAGCUAAGGAGUCUGGAAGGGGAAGGGAUGAGGUCAGAAGUGGGCUGUGCCCACGAGCUUCCUCCUUUCCCCCUUCAUAUCUGCCUUCCAAGCCACCAAUGCACACAUUCCUGCAUUACCACCGAAGAAUCUCAGAGGUAUCUCCUGGUGCAUAAGUGGUCCUCAGGAGGUCCACCAGGCUGUACCUUCUGCACUGGUGGGUAUCCCCUCCCCCCAGCCCACCUGCUCUUUUCUCUCAGUUUGGAGUCAGGAAAAAAAAAACAGAACAAAACAAACAAAUAAAAAAAAAAU
This 838-nucleotide long non-coding RNA is filed under the name Mus caroli (Ryukyu mouse). Its description in RNAcentral is "lncRNA (MGP_CAROLIEiJ_G0005595.1)". The record is from RNAcentral. Lineage: Eukaryota; Metazoa; Chordata; Mammalia; Rodentia; Muridae.